AUACGUAGGGGGCGAGCGUUGUCCGGAAUGACUGGGCGUAAAGGGCGUGUAGGCGGCUGGAUAAGUCUGGAGUGAAAGUCCUGCAUUCAAUGUGGGAAUUGCUUUGGAGACUGUCUGGCUUGAGUGCGGAAGAGGGAAGUGGUAUUCCCAGUGUAGCGGUGAAAUGCGUAGAGAUUGGGAGGAACACCAGUGGCGAAGGCGACUUACUGGGCCGUAACUGACGCUGAGGCGCGAAAGCGUGGGGAGCGAACAGGAUUAGAUACCCUGGUAGUCCACGCGGUAAACGAUGAAUGCUAGGUGUAGGGGGUAUCGACCCCUCCUGUGCCGGAGUGAACACAAUAAGCAUUCCGCCUGGGGAGUACGGCCGCAAGGUUGAAACUCAAAUGAAUUGACGGGG
This 397-nucleotide ribosomal RNA is filed under the name uncultured bacterium. Its description in RNAcentral is "partial 16S ribosomal RNA". It matches the Rfam family "Bacterial small subunit ribosomal RNA", at positions 523 to 918 of the family's 1533-position model. The record is from RNAcentral.